CUACGGGAGGCACCAGUGGGGAAUAUUGCACAAUGGAGGAAACUCUGAUGCAGCAACGCCGCGUGGAGGAUGACACUUUUCGGAGCGUAAACUCCUUUUAUAUAGGAAGAUAAUGACGGUACUAUAUGAAUAAGCACCGGCUAACUCCGUGCCAGCAGCCGCGGUAAUACGGAGGGUGCAAGCGUUACUCGGAAUCACUGGGCGUAAAGAGCGUGUAGGCGGGUUAAUAAGUCAGAAGUGAAAUCCUAUGGCUCAACCAUAGAACUGCUUUUGAAACUGUUAACCUAGAAUAUGGGAGAGGUAGAUGGAAUUUCUGGUGUAGGGGUAAUAUCCGUAGAGAUCAGAAGGAAUACCGAUUGCGAAGGCGAUCUACUGGAACAUUAUUGACGCUGAGACGCGAAAGCGUGGGGAGCAAACAGGAUUAGAUACCCUCGUAGUC
This 439-nucleotide ribosomal RNA is filed under the name uncultured bacterium. RNAcentral describes it as "partial 16S ribosomal RNA". It matches the Rfam family "Bacterial small subunit ribosomal RNA", at positions 339 to 795 of the family's 1533-position model. The record is from RNAcentral.